AAGCUCUCAUCUCAAAUCCUCUUUUACCUUCACUAGGUCGAUAACAAAGCAAUGGCUUCCAAAACAAACUCAACCAGCUUGGCCCUCAUCCUUAUUGCAGUACUCAACAUUCUCUUCUUCUCCGUGGUUUCCGGGGCCUCGAACCCUAACCCUAAACCCACACUUGCAACUAGUCCAAAACUUGCACCAACGGUUGCACCAACACCUACUUCUGACCCAAACUCCAAACCAACAACAUCAACAAAGUGCCCGGAUCUACGUCCUUGCGGUUUCAUGCCGCUUAGCGGUGCAUGUUGCGUGGUGUUUGCUCAAGUCACCGAUGCUACUGCAGCCGCCAGUUGCAUUUGCAAUGCCCUUAAAGACUCUCCAGCUGGCCCUGGUCAAUUCCUCACGGACCUUAGCCAGCUUAUCUCGUUUACUUUCGUGCAAUGUGGCAGGGCGGCUCCCUCAAACCUCACCUGCUCUAAAUAUUGAUGCAUCAACUCCACCGUACCAAGGCUCGUCGAUCGUCAUCGGCUUACUUUCAAUAACUAGUUAUUUGUACUACUACUACUACUACUACUAUUACGUACUUUCAGUUUGACUUGCUGCUAUGCAUGCAUGUUCUUGGUGAAACGACUACGUUUCAUGAUCAACAGAUGGCAGCAUGAGUUGGUGUGUUUUUUUUUCAGUUCUAGUGUCGAUGUUGGGAUCGACCAAUACUUAAUGUGCCAUAUCAUGCAGUUUCAUAAUAAUAAUAAUAAUGUUACUAAUGAUUUAAUAAUAAUCGCUAUUUGGUUAUCUUUAAUGUUAAUAUUUGCAAAUAGUCAACUGGAGGGGGUCGAUAUCCUUCGUCCUGAGCCGUCUAGAUUUCCCAAUUCAACUAUAUUUUCACCUACAUAAUUAAAAAAACACUCCAAAAUGGCAUCUAAAAUAUUGAUAUAAAAUUAGUAAAGUUCAUGUAAACUACUACUAAUUAAGUGAAGAAAAAGAGCAGGAAAUGUCCCUUAAAAUAGAGUUGAUCGUGUGCAAUCACUAUAAAAAUUGAGUAUUUUCUGCACCAUAACAUCUGUUGUAAAUAGUCAUUGAUUUCCAAUUAUUUAAAUUGUUGAGAUGUCAUCCAUCUAAGUUGGCGGAAUAAUAUUUGACUCAACUCAAAUUAUUAAUUUUAGUCAAUUUUGAUUAUCAAAUUCCGAUCCGAUUGAUCGACUUGUGUAAACAAAAAAUGUAAGAACUGGACAUCGACCUUGAUCUCACUAGGUGUAAGUAGUGGCUAUGGAGUAUGGAUCGGACCAAUAUUCGGGUACUCGAAAAGACCAUGGGCUACAGAUGCCUGAGACCACGUUAGGCUAGGUUUCAGUGGGCCAUUAGGGGCAAUAUCAGCUAUUGGGCUUGUGUCAAGUUCAGGCUUUUUCGUAAAAGAACUUCACAUGUUAAUUGAUUUGGUACUACAAUUAAUUAAAACAAUUCUCUCCCAAUACAUGGAAAAUCCAUACAAACAAGUUGCUUAUAUAGUGAUGUUGGUAGUUGUAUUUGAAAGGAUAAAUUAAGAUUUAAUUUUCGUAAUAGUUUUGAGAGAGAAAUAAAAUUUUAAUUUUGGAACCAUUUUUGAUUGGAUUAAUCGAUCAAUAAAUCGAAUACUAAAAUUCAUAAAAUAAAAUAAAUGAAAAAUGGUACAAUGAAAAACAAACAUUAGUGAUACCUUAAUACUAAAAUAUAACUUGAUGCACCGAAUACCAAACAUAAGUAAAAUCCGACCAUAUAAACAACCUAGUGUUAGCUAGACUGCUAGGUUUAAAACUACAUUCAAGGCUAUGCUUCAUAUAUAUUUAUAAAUAAUAAUCAAGCAAUUGACUUUUGCAUUUUUAUCUAGAGAUGAGAUNNNNNNNNNNNNNNNNNNNNNNNNNNNNNNNNNNNNNNNNNNNNNNNNNNNNNGUUAUUUAUGAGAACUAAGUUCAUUGGCCAUUAGUAGAAAAAUGAAGCAUAGCCGACAUGAAAAUGGCAACCAAAGUCUAUACAAAUUCCAAAAUAAAUUGCUGCUAUGAAAACGACUGAACUCUCUAAAAUUCUAAUUUCGUUUACUGAUCCAAUACCGUGUUUAGUCAACCCUCAAGCACCACAAAAACAAACCAUAAUAUCAAUCCUAAAUUCCUUUAAACCAGACCAAUUACGUAGUUUUUCUAGAGAAUGAAACGAAAUUACGAACGAAAAAAUAAGAAUACAUAAUACAUAUAUGUGUUGAUCUAGUUUUCUUUUGCGAAAAAAGUAUGUUUGGGGUGCUGGAAAGACAGUGUUAUAACUAUGUUGUGAUUGUAUAUAUACCAAACACAAUGAUAAAAAUAUAAGUAAUGUACAAGCUACCCCAUUAAACCAUAAGUUUCUACUGAAGUAGACAAAUUAAUAAGGCCCAACCCAUUACCAAAACCACAAAAUAGGUCAGCAAAUUGGCCUGAUUCAAUUAUCCAUCAAUAUUUAGUCCAUCGAUCUUCAUAACCUAAUAGUUUUACGUAAGAAAAGUUGGUAAUGGUGAGUUUAACAGAUUAAGUUUCACGUAAAAUAAGAACCUCAUAUGUGGGAAUUCAGAAAUAUAAUUACAGCCAGAAAAUCUUAGAGCCACAAGUGGGUUUCAUGGCUUCUUUCUAAUUGUCAUUAUUCACCAAGUCUACUCCAUAUAUAAUUGUCAACUUUAGUGGCCACCAUACCAUCCCCUAAAACCCUAUAAAUACCCAAGCUCAUGAUUCCUUCUCAACUCACCAAGCUCCCUUCAUCCCAACCCAUCUCACCAAGCUAUCUAUUUGAGCUCAACAUCCAUCAUCUACACAAAUCAAUGGCUUCCAAAGCAAACUCAACCUUGGCUCUCUUUCUUGCACUCAACCUUCUCUUCUUAUCCAUGGUCUCUGCACAUUGCGGUGGUGGUUGCCCUACUCCGAACCCAAACCCUAAACCAACACCAACUCCUAACCCGAACCCGAACCCCACACCAACACCUACUCCUAACCCGAAUCCAAACCCUACACCAACACCAACACCUACAAUCCCUAACCCUACACCAACACCUGCAAACCCUAAACCUACACCAACUCCUGCAAACCCAAACCCUACACCAACACCUAGCUCUUCAAGUGGCAAAUGCCCCAUUGAUGCACUCAAGUUGGGAGUAUGUGCUGAUGUCCUUAGCAAUUUGCUCAAUAUCAAGAUCGGGAGCACUCCGGUUCAACCUUGUUGCAGCUUACUCAAUGGACUUGCUGAUCUUGAUGCAUCUGUAUGCCUUUGCCCUGCCAUCAAAGCCAACAUUCUCGGCAUCAAUCUCAACGUCCCAAUUUCCCUCAGCUUACUUCUCAAUGCCUGCGACAAGAAUGCUGCAUCUGGCUUCCAGUGCUCUUAAUUCACAUGCCCAAUUGCCCACAACGUAUUAUGCAAUAAUAAUCGAGUACUUGUUAUUUCGGUUUUUCUUAUCAUGUUGUUGUUUAAGUUGUCUAAGUUUACGAGCUUAGUUUAUUUCAUGUUACAAGAUAGUUCGUUUGGUCGACAUAUAUUUACAUAUGUCGAUUUAAUGAUCUUUUCGUUUUAAGGUAAUUUUAUCCCAUCAAUAAUUUACCUAUCUCAUGUGAUGUCCCAUUAUAAGAAUGUUUUUAUUUUAUUUUGUCUAAUGAGUAUAGUCUAAAAAGAACAAAUUCAAGCCAAGUGUUCAUGGGCUGGUGAUAGCCCCAGACCAAGUUGGGCUUGGACAGAAUAUUGAGCAGGCUUCACCAUUUAGGCUAAAAGGUAAAAUGGAUUAUGGGUGUAUGGAAGCAUAAACAUCCCCAAAUUGGUAAAUAUUGGUUACCACCGCCCAUAUCGAAAAUAAAACUCAACCAACCGUUCUGUGAAAGAAUGAUCUCAUUCUAAUGAAUCGAGUUGUUAGAAUAGGGUCUAAAAAAGUUACAUAUCAUUUUAUUUUAAUAAUUCAAGUGGUUGGAAGUGGGUUUGAAACGGGUAAUAUAUUCAUUGUAAUCAUUUAUGAAAAAACAUGGUGUAUAAAAUUUGGUGUAAUAUGUGGUAGUUAACUUAAUAUCGGGAAUAGGAACACGUCAGUUCCACCUUGUUGCAGUUUGAUUACUGAUGUGUUGUAUUAUCGACACAUUUGUUCCCGUUAUAAACUACAUUUUUGUGUGUCGAUAUGUAUUCAAAUUCGAGAUUUUUAGUACAUGUUUGGUUUCUCUUGCCCCGUGCUGUGUUACGUUGUUUGAGAUAUUUUUAUGCAUUUCAGGCGAUUUACGGUGUUUGGGGACAAGCGGGAAACACAUUUAGUGCGUUUUGUUUAGGUGUAGAUUAGCUCGAUAGAGGAGUCUGCGGUUAAGCAAAAUAGAUCCUUAGAGGCGCGAGAGUGAUCUAAGACUACCAUACGAAAUUGUGAAGCCAUUAUAACCUGAAUAAUUGAGAUAACUUGUGGUUCAUCCAUGCAUUGCUAGUUUUAGUGGAUUCGAAUCCGAGCAACCUUAAUUCCCAAUUUGAAACUCAAUCUCUUGAAUUUGUUUUCCUUUUCGUUGAUUCUUAGAUAUUAAUUAGUUACUUAAAACAUUCACAAAAACAAUCAUAUACUGUUACUUGGUCUAAUUAGUUAAUCGAAUUGAAUAAUAAAAGUAAAAAGACCUUAAGAAAAUUAACGAUCCCGCUAUAACAAUCUAUUAAAUAUUUAAUUGACGAAGUAAAAUUUAUUAUUUGAUUAAAGAAGUAAAAUUCGUUGAUUUUGAUGUUGCUGUUUGCAUUUGCACGGCCAUCAAAGCCAAUAUUUGAGCUUCUCGAUUCAUGAUUCAUCAUCUUUUUCUUUGUGUAGUGAUCAGAAGCAAUUUAAAUGACCGAACACAGAAUAUUUAGGUUUUUUUCGUUCUUAAUGUGUUGUUGUCUUCGAUAAUUGUUUCGACAAUUCAAAACAAACAAUCACGAUCACACUCAAAAUUUGACUAACUUAACAGGUCAAGAAUAUGUAUAUAUAUUCAUCCGAAAUUUGGCAUAUAUAUUAUAUUAUUUCUAAGCAAAUUCCAAGUCUACACGGUAGGCUUCAUGGUCAACUUUUGUUGGCCUCCAUUAAAUCUGAGAGUCGGUUAAUUCGGUUAUUAUUGUCGGUUAACGGUCGAAAAAAAUUACAUGAUCAUUCUGAUCGAUUAAUUUUUUUAACCGACCUACUAACCGCUACGGUUAAUCAACCGACCAACUAAUUUAACUGACACUGUAAUGCCAAAAUUAUAAUAGUUUCCAUUGAAUUUGGGGUAAUUUUACUUAGAUUUGAGGAUAAUUUUAAUUUUUUGGUUAAUCAUAAUUAACCGACUUUUAACCGGUUACCCAAUUUCACCAAUGCAUCCACCGUUUCACCAAACGAUCUAAUUUUGCUUAAAUGGAUUUUUAACCGAUUUGGUUCGUUAACUGAUUAACCGAAAUCGAAUUCCCAACACUAGCCUCCAUGAUAGCUAGCAUCACCUUAAAGCACUAUAAAAUCCCCAACCAUGGUUACUUUCCAACUCACCAAGCUCUCAUCUCAAAUCCUCUUUUACUUUAAGCUCGAAAACAAAUUAAAGCAAAUGGCUUCCAAAACAAACUCAACUAGCGUGGCUCUCAUCCUUAUUGCAGUACUCAACAUUCUCUUCUUCUCUGUGGUUUCCGGGGCCUCAAACCCUAACCCUAAACCCACACUUGCAACUAGUCCAACACCUACGAAUUCUACGUGCCCCGAUCUAGGUCCUUGCGGUUUUGUGCCGCUAAGCGGUGCAUGUUGCAUGGUGUUUGCUCAAGUCAACGAUGCUACUGCAGCCGCCAACUGCAUUUGCAAUGCCCUCAAAGUCUCUCCAGCUGGCCCUGGUCAAUUCUACCAGGACCUUAGCCUGCUUGUCGCGUCUACUUUCGCACAAUGUGGCAGGUUGGCUCCCUCCAACCUCACCUGCUCUAAUUGAUGCAUCAACUCAACCGUCACGGCUUAUUUUCAAUAACUAGUUAUUUGUACUACUACUACUACAACGUACUUUCAGUUUGACUUGCUGCUAUGCAUAAGGCAUGCAUGUUAUUGGCGAAACGACUACGUUUCAUGAUCAACAGAUGGCAGCAGUUAGUGUGUUUUCUUUUCCUUUCAGUUCUAAUGUCGAUGUUGGGAUCGGCCAAUAAUAUGGCAUAUCAUGCAGUUGCAUAAUAAUAAUAAUAAUAAUAAUAUAAUAAUAAUCAA
This 6172-nucleotide long non-coding RNA is filed under the name Linum usitatissimum (flax). RNAcentral describes it as "long non-coding RNA (LUSI_LNC005514)". The record is from RNAcentral. Lineage: Eukaryota; Viridiplantae; Streptophyta; Magnoliopsida; Malpighiales; Linaceae.